UGUUACAUACAGUACAGUCUCCUUAGCUCCCGAUCUGGAGGCGAAACGCAGAGUCCGAGUGAAAAACUGUGUGUCUUGUUCCGUCGUCUCUCUCCGAUCUGUUCAUCGAAUUUGGAUUUUUGUGAUUGUUUUCUCCUAUAAUUUCUGAAAAAUUCUGGUGGUUUUUGUUUCAAAACAACCGAUGCCCUUGGCUCUGGGGGUAAAAGACAUUCAAUGGCGUCUCAACUUCAAGGGUUCCUCUCGCGCUUCAGCAGAACCAGGUACCACACGCGCUACUUACCUUCUUCUGUUUCGUUGUUUCAAUUUUCAACUCUGCAAGUUACGUCAAACCCUUUGAUGGACGAACCAACGGACAAUCAGAUCAAAAGGCCAUCAAAUUUUAACGAACGCGAUGUCCUUUAUCAACUCUCUGGUCUGUUACCAAUAUGCUGUAACACUUCAAUUUCCAAACCAUUCACAGAGAAUUCACCCAAGGAACAAUUAAAAACUAGGGCAGUUGAUGGGUUUUUAUCACCCGGAGAGAAACUACGAGGGGUUUUUAUUCAGAGACUCAGGGGUAAAGCUGCAAUUGAGCUUGCCCUAACUAAUGUAGGAAUCGAUUUAACUAUUGAUAUUGUUUCAGAAGUAGUUAAUAGAGGGAAUUUAGGGGGUGAAGCAAUGGUUAUCUUUUUUAAUUGGGCGGUUAAACAGCCCACAAUACCUAAAGAUGUAGAUACUUACAAUGUAAUUAUUAAAGCCCUGGGGAGAAGAAAGUUCAUUGAAUUUAUAGUGGAGGUAUUGAAGGAUAUGCAUAUUCAAGGAAUAAGCCCUAAUUAUGAAACACUGUCUAUUGUGAUGGAUAGCUUUAUUAAGGCUCGCCAGGUCUCCAAAGCAAUUGAAAUGUUCAGAAAUUUAGAAGAGUUCGGAGGGAAAUGUGAUACAGAAUCUUUGAAUGUGCUUUUACAAUGUCUAUGUCAGCGAUCCCAUGUGGGUGCUGCAAAUUUGUUAUUUAAUGCAAUGAAGGGUGGGAUACCAUUUAAUUGUAUGACAUACAAUAUUAUUAUUGGUGGGUGGUCAAAAUAUGGAAAAAUUGGUGAAAUGGAGAGGUGUUUGAAAGCAAUGGUAGCAGACGGGUUUAGUCCCAAUUGUUUGACUUUCAGUCACCUUAUUGAAGGUUUGGGAAGAGCUGGUAGGAUUGAUGACGCAGUUGAGGUUUUUCAUCAUAUGGAAGAGAAAGGCUGUGUGCCCAAUGCUGGUGUUUACAAUGCAUUGAUUUCUAAUUUUAUUUCUACCAGAGAUUUUGAUGAAUGUUUGAAAUAUUAUAAUUUUAUGGUGAGUAGCAACUGUGACCCGAAUAUGGAUACUUAUACCAAAUUGAUCGUCGCUUUUCUUAAAGCCCGAAAAGUGGCAGAUGCACUUGAAAUGCUUGAUGAGAUGGUAGAUCGAGGAAUGAUUCCAACUACAGGUGCUAUAACCUCUUUUAUUGAACCUUUGUGUCAAUAUGGUCCACCCCAUGCUGCUAUGAUGAUUUAUAAGAAGGCAAGAAAAGUUGGAUGUAGAAUAUCUCUCAGUGCUUAUAAGCUAUUGCUCAUGCGACUUUCCAGAUUUGGCAAAUGUGGAAUGUUGUUGAAUUUGUGGGAUGAGAUGCAAGAAAGUGGUUAUUCUUCUGAUACAGAAGUUUAUGAGUAUGUCAUUAAUGGGCUCUGCAACAUAGGACAGCUUGACACUGCCGUACUUGUCAUGGAGGAGUCUUUGCGUAAGGGUUUUUGCCCAAGUAGGCUUAUUCGUAGCAAACUGAAUAACAAACUUCUGGCUUCAAAUAAAGUAGAGAUGGCUUACAAGCUUUUUUUGAAGAUCAAAGUUGCUCGUCAGAAUGACAAUGCACGAAGAUUUUGGCGUGGUAAUGGGUGGCAUUUUUGAACUUUCAUUUUUAUCGACCGAUGAGUGCAAUUAUUUCAUGUGCCCAACAGCUUCACCUUUCCAAAGAAGAUUCUCAAAGGGUUCUCAGAUUGGGCAAAUAUGAGGUCCAUGCAGAUGUAGACAGUGGGUUGUCUGCUUUAGUUUCACAAUGACCAAGAUUCAGAUUGUG
RNA transcript from Vitis riparia (riverbank grape), 2068 nucleotides. RefSeq lists it as uncharacterized. The record is from RefSeq and is a predicted model, not a curated record. Lineage: Eukaryota; Viridiplantae; Streptophyta; Magnoliopsida; Vitales; Vitaceae. The transcript is spliced from 2 exons.